This 406-nucleotide ribosomal RNA is filed under the name uncultured bacterium. RNAcentral describes it as "partial 16S ribosomal RNA". It matches the Rfam family "Bacterial small subunit ribosomal RNA", at positions 30 to 526 of the family's 1533-position model. The record is from RNAcentral.
AUUGAACGCUGGCGGCAGGCCUAACACAUGCAAGUCGAAAGAGUGGCGUACGGGUGAGUAAUGUCUGGGAAACUGCCUGAUGGAGGGGGAUAACUACUGGAAACGGUAGCUAAUACAGCAUACCAUCAGAUGUGCCCAGAUGGGAUUAGAUAGUUGGUGGGGUAACGGCUCACCAAGGCGACGAUCCCUAGCUGGUCUGAGAGGAUGACCAGCCACACUGGAACUGAGCCACGGUCCAGACUCCUACGGGAGGCAGCAGUGGGGAAUAUUGCACAAUGUGCGCAAGCCGGAUGCAGCCAUGCCGCGUGUAGUAUGAAGGCCAUCGGGUUGUAAAGUACUUUCAGCGGGGAUGCGUUACCCCCUGAAGAAGCACCGGCUAACUCCGUGCCAGCAGCCGCGGUAAUUC